RNAcentral lists this ribosomal RNA (562 nucleotides) under Hydractinia polyclina. Its description in RNAcentral is "partial 16S ribosomal RNA". It matches the Rfam family "Bacterial large subunit ribosomal RNA", at positions 1857 to 2591 of the family's 2925-position model. The record is from RNAcentral. Lineage: Eukaryota; Metazoa; Cnidaria; Hydrozoa; Anthoathecata; Hydractiniidae.
ACCUGCCCAAUGAUCUUAAACUUAAAAAAUAUAACUAUUUUUAAAAAGAUUUAAAGGACGCAGUAUCCUGACUGUGAUAAUGUAGCAUAAUCAUUCGCCAUUUAAUUGAUGGAUAGUAUGAAUGGUUGAACGAAUUCUUCACUGUCUUAAAAAAAGAAAUAAUGAAAUUUAAAUAAUAGUAAAGAUGCUAUUUAAAAUUGUAAGACGAAAAGACCCUAUAGAGCUUAACUAUAAGUUCUUUUAGUUAAAAGAACAUAAUUCUCAAAAUAAAGAACUUGGUAGUUUAGUUGGGGCGACUAUCUUCUAAUAUUAACGAAGACAAGCAAAAUUAAUAUAUAAUUUAUUGUAUAACCUAUAAGUUUAACAAUUACAAAAGUAGGCAUAAUGACCCGUUUUCAUUUAGUAAUUAAAGAAAACGAUCAAUAAAUAAAAGCUACCUUAGGGAUAACAGGAUAAUUUUGUUUUAGAGAUCCUAUCGAAAACAAAGUUUGUCACCUCUAUGUUGAAUUAAGAUAUCCUAGUAAUGCAGAAGUUACUAAAGGUAGGUCUGUUCGACCUUUAA